CAAGGAAUUUUGUGCAAUGGGCGAAAGCCUGACACAGCGACGCCGCGUGAGGGAUGAAGGCCUUCGGGUUGUAAACCUCUUUUCUCAGGGAUGAAUAAUGACAGUACCUGAGGAAUAAGUCACGGCUAACUACGUG
This 136-nucleotide ribosomal RNA is filed under the name uncultured bacterium. RNAcentral describes it as "partial 16S ribosomal RNA". It matches the Rfam family "Bacterial small subunit ribosomal RNA", at positions 355 to 507 of the family's 1533-position model. The record is from RNAcentral.